Molecule: ribosomal RNA, 690 nt
Filed under: uncultured Enterococcus sp.
Lineage: Bacteria; Bacillati; Bacillota; Bacilli; Lactobacillales; Enterococcaceae
Description: bacterial SSU rRNA
Rfam family: Bacterial small subunit ribosomal RNA
Source: RNAcentral
UUCCUCCCGAGUGCUUGCACUCAAUUGGAAAGAGGAGUGGCGGACGGGUGAGUAACACGUGGGUAACCUACCCAUCAGAGGGGGAUAACACUUGGAAACAGGUGCUAAUACCGCAUAACAGUUUAUGCCGCAUGGCAUAAGAGUGAAAGGCGCUUUCGGGUGUCGCUGAUGGAUGGACCCGCGGUGCAUUAGCUAGUUGGUGAGGUAACGGCUCACCAAGGCCACGAUGCAUAGCCGACCUGAGAGGGUGAUCGGCCACACUGGGACUGAGACACGGCCCAGACUCCUACGGGAGGCAGCAGUAGGGAAUCUUCGGCAAUGGACGAAAGUCUGACCGGGCAACGCCGCGUGAGUGAAGAAGGUUUUCGGAUCGUAAAACUCUGUUGUUAGAGAAGAACAAGGACGUUAGUAACUGAACGUCCCCUGACGGUAUCUAACCAGAAAGCCACGGCUAACUACGUGCCAGCAGCCGCGGUAAUACGUAGGUGGCAAGCGUUGUCCGGAUUUAUUGGGCGUAAAGCGAGCGCAGGCGGUUUCUUAAGUCUGAUGUGAAAGCCCCCGGCUCAACCGGGGAGGGUCAUUGGAAACUGGGAGACUUGAGUGCAGAAGAGGAGAGUGGAAUUCCAUGUGUAGCGGUGAAAUGCGUAGAUAUAUGGAGGAACACCAGUGGCGAAGGCGGCUCUCUGGUCU